Molecule: long non-coding RNA, 692 nt
Organism: Mangifera indica (mango)
Lineage: Eukaryota; Viridiplantae; Streptophyta; Magnoliopsida; Sapindales; Anacardiaceae
Exons: 3
Source: RefSeq, a predicted model, not a curated record
UCAUGAUUUUCAGCCUCUAGUUUUGGGUGCUGCUGAAACUUUGUGAAUGCUUUUUAUUCAAUGAAACGUGAAAUUGAAGCUGUAAUUUUUCGCGAUUUAUGACUAAUAACGACGUUAAUUCUGUCUAAGCAUACUAAUUUAUUCAACCGCCAAGGCCUUCUAUUCAGUUUCUUCAGACAUAGAAGGAGAUGGUAAAAGGUAGCACAUGGACAUGAAUUUCCCCACCAAUUCUCAGCAAUCUUUUUCUGAUGACGAUGAAAUAGACUACUCGGUGAAGCCAGAAUUGUAUGACUCUGGUGCUGAUGAUAAAGAUGAAUUAUGGGUUCAAAAGGUUCUGAUGCUGUUUUUAGUUGCCCAUCUUGUUUCACCACGCUCCGCCUUCACUGCCAAAGGUGAGUCAGUAUAGGGCAGUUUUUGUUGCUGACAGCAAGAUUGGAAGCGGCCAAGUACAUCAAAUUAUUCAGCCAAAAGAGGACGGGGAAUUUUAUGAGUGAAGAGAAUCCUUCUGAUGAAACAUCGAAGCCAGUUUUUCUCUGUUUGCUCAAUGCAUGUGGGUGUCCUUCCGAGUGGCUGUUGAUCUGUCAACUGCAUUUAGCCGCACUGUGGAAGUUUCUCUGGUUCCGGUUCUGUUAACGCUAGGAGUUUCUCUGAUAGAUAAUAUUUUUGAAUAAACAAUAAAAUUACGUACAUCC